RNAcentral lists this ribosomal RNA (372 nucleotides) under uncultured organism. RNAcentral describes it as "bacterial SSU rRNA". It matches the Rfam family "Bacterial small subunit ribosomal RNA", at positions 526 to 896 of the family's 1533-position model. The record is from RNAcentral.
CGGAAGGGGCAAGCGUUGUUCGGAAUCAUUGGGCGUAAAGGGCGCGUAGGUGGUCCUGUAUGUCUACCGUGAAAGCGUACGGCUCAACCGUAUUUUGUCGGUAGAAACUGCAGGACUUGAGGCUGGGAGGGGCUGGUGGAAUUCCCUGUGUAGCGGUGAAAUGCGUAGAGAUGGGGGAGAACACUCGUGGCGAAGGCGGCCAGCUAGACCAGUUCUGACACUGAGGCGCGACAGCGUGGGGAGCAAACAGGAUUAGAUACCCUGGCAGUCCACGCUGUAAACGAUGGGCACUAGGUGCCGGCGGUCUUGAUCCCGUCGGUGCCGGCGCUAACGCAGUAAGUGCCCCGCCUGGGGAGUACGGUCGCAAGGCUG